This 211-nucleotide long non-coding RNA is filed under the name Lathyrus oleraceus (garden pea). RNAcentral's name for it is "Pisum sativum (pea) long non-coding RNA (PSAT_LNC038837)". Lineage: Eukaryota; Viridiplantae; Streptophyta; Magnoliopsida; Fabales; Fabaceae. The record is from RNAcentral.
GAAACAGCAUUCUUGAACGAGUAUUUUCCUGCUUCUAUGUAUAUCCGUAAGAGGUAUGACAUUGUGAAUUUUAAACAGAAAGACGGAGAGACACUUGGAGAUGCAUAAAUAAGAUUCAAGAGAUGUUUAGUUGCAUGUCCUACACAUAAUCUGGACGAAACUGAACAAAUGCAGAAUUUUGUAAACGGGCUGAAGAUGAGAACUAAGCAAC